AUGAUGCGGCCGGUUGAAGAAGAAAGAGAUGGCUGGUUUUCUUGGAUGCUUGAAAAGAGGAGUUUGAGCUAUAAUGGCGGACCAAUUCCCGUUCCCCUUGAUGAGCCGUUUCUUGCUGAUAAUGUGCAAAGAAUUUGCAUUUGUGAUGCAGGUGAAGGGAUGCAAAAUGAUAAUGUUCUUUUGUUCUGGCAAGUCAAGCCGGUUGUACAUGUCUUUCAGGUGACACUGCUUGCUUAG
Molecule: non-coding RNA, 237 nt
Organism: Vicia faba (fava bean)
Lineage: Eukaryota; Viridiplantae; Streptophyta; Magnoliopsida; Fabales; Fabaceae
Source: the annotation of a GenBank genome assembly